Molecule: ribosomal RNA, 1346 nt
Filed under: uncultured bacterium
Lineage: Bacteria
Description: partial 16S ribosomal RNA
Rfam family: Bacterial small subunit ribosomal RNA
Source: RNAcentral
GACGAACCUUGGCGGCGUGCUUAACACAUGCAAGUCGAACGGAAAGGCCCUGCUUUUGUGGGGUGCUCGAGUGGCGAACGGGUGAGUAACACGUGAGUAACCUGCCCUUGACUUUGGGAUAACUUCAGGAAACUGGGGCUAAUACCGGAUAGGAGCUCCUGCUGCAUGGUGGGGGUUGGAAAGUUUCGGCGGUUGGGGAUGGACUCGCGGCUUAUCAGCUUGUUGGUGGGGUAGUGGCUUACCAAGGCUUUGACGGGUAGCCGGCCUGAGAGGGUGACCGGCCACAUUGGGACUGAGAUACGGCCCAGACUCCUACGGGAGGCAGCAGUGGGGAAUAUUGCACAAUGGGCGGAAGCCUGAUGCAGCAACGCCGCGUGCGGGAUGACGGCCUUCGGGUUGUAAACCGCUUUCGCCUGUGACGAAGCGUGAGUGACGGUAAUGGGUAAAGAAGCACCGGCUAACUACGUGCCAGCAGCCGCGGUGAUACGUAGGGUGCGAGCGUUGUCCGGAUUUAUUGGGCGUAAAGGGCUCGUAGGUGGUUGAUCGCGUCGGAAGUGUAAUCUUGGGGCUUAACCCUGAGCGUGCUUUCGAUACGGGUUGACUUGAGGAAGGUAGGGGAGAAUGGAAUUCCUGGUGGAGCGGUGGAAUGCGCAGAUAUCAGGAGGAACACCAGUGGCGAAGGCGGUUCUCUGGGCCUUUCCUGACGCUGAGGAGCGAAAGCGUGGGGAGCGAACAGGCUUAGAUACCCUGGUAGUCCACGCUGUAAACGGUGGGUACUAGGUGUGGGGUCCACUCCACGGGUUCCGUGCCGUAGCUAACGCUUUAAGUACCCCGCCUGGGGAGUACGGCCGCAAGGCUAAAACUCAAAGGAACUGACGGGGCCCCGCACAAGCGGCGGAGCAUGCGGAUUAAUUCGAUGCAACGCGUAGAACCUUACCUGGGUUUGACAUGGAUCGGGAGUGCUCAGAGAUGGGUGUGCCUCUUUUGGGGUCGGUUCACAGGUGGUGCAUGCCUGUCGUCAGCUCGUGUCGUGAGAUGUUGGGUUAAGUCCCGCAACGAGCGCAACCCUUGUUCACUGUUGCCAGCACGUUAUGGUGGGGACUCAGUGGAGACCGCCGGGGUCAACUCGGAGGAAGGUGGGGAUGACGUCAAGUCAUCAUGCCCCUUAUGUCCAGGGCUUCACGCAUGCUACAAUGGCUGGUACAGAGAGUGGCGAGCCUGUGAGGGUGAGCGAAUCUCGGAAAGCCGGUCUCAGUUCGGAUUGGGGUCUGCAACUCGACCUCAUGAAGUCGGAGUCGCUAGUAAUCGCAGAUCAGCAACGCUGCGGUGAAUACGUUCCCGGGGCU